GAACGCUGGCGGCGUGCCUAAUACAUGCAAGUCGAACGAACUCUGGUAUUGAUUGGUGCUUGCAUCAUGAUUUACAUUUGAGUGAGUGGCGAACUGGUGAGUAACACGUGGGAAACCUGCCCAGAAGCGGGGGAUAACACCUGGAAACAGAUGCUAAUACCGCAUAACAACUUGGACCGCAUGGUCCGAGUUUGAAAGAUGGCUUCGGCUAUCACUUUUGGAUGGUCCCGCGGCGUAUUAGCUAGAUGGUGGGGUAACGGCUCACCAUGGCAAUGAUACGUAGCCGACCUGAGAGGGUAAUCGGCCACAUUGGGACUGAGACACGGCCCAAACUCCUACGGGAGGCAGCAGUAGGGAAUCUUCCACAAUGGACGAAAGUCUGAUGGAGCAACGCCGCGUGAGUGAAGAAGGGUUUCGGCUCGUAAAACUCUGUUGUUAAAGAAGAACAUAUCUGAGAGUAACUGUUCAGGUAUUGACGGUAUUUAACCAGAAAGCCACGGCUAACUACGUGCCAGCAGCCGCGGUAAUACGUAGGUGGCAAGCGUUGUCCGGAUUUAUUGGGCGUAAAGCGAGCGCAGGCGGUUUUUUAAGUCUGAUGUGAAAGCCUUCGGCUCAACCGAAGAAGUGCAUCGGAAACUGGGAAACUUGAGUGCAGAAGAGGACAGUGGAACUCCAUGUGUAGCGGUGAAAUGCGUAGAUAUAUGGAAGAACACCAGUGGCGAAGGCGGCUGUCUGGUCUGUAACUGACGCUGAGGCUCGAAAGUAUGGGUAGCAAACAGGAUUAGAUACCCUGGUAGUCCAUACCGUAAACGAUGAAUGCUAAGUGUUGGAGGGUUUCCGCCCUUCAGUGCUGCAGCUAACGCAUUAAGCAUUCCGCCUGGGGAGUACGGCCGCAAGGCUGAAACUCAAAGGAAUUGACGGGGGCCCGCACAAGCGGUGGAGCAUGUGGUUUAAUUCGAAGCUACGCGAAGAACCUUACCAGGUCUUGACAUACUAUGCAAAUCUAAGAGAUUAGACGUUCCCUUCGGGGACAUGGAUACAGGUGGUGCAUGGUUGUCGUCAGCUCGUGUCGUGAGAUGUUGGGUUAAGUCCCGCAACGAGCGCAACCCUUAUUAUCAGUUGCCAGCAUUAAGUUGGGCACUCUGGUGAGACUGCCGGUGACAAACCGGAGGAAGGUGGGGAUGACGUCAAAUCAUCAUGCCCCUUAUGACCUGGGCUACACACGUGCUACAAUGGAUGGUACAACGAGUUGCGAACUCGCGAGAGUAAGCUAAUCUCUUAAAGCCAUUCUCAGUUCGGAUUGUAGGCUGCAACUCGCCUACAUGAAGUCGGAAUCGCUAGUAAUCGCGGAUCAGCAUGCCGCGGUGAAUACGUUCCCGGGCCUUGUACACACCGCCCGUCACACCAUGAGAGUUUGUAACACCCAAAGUCGGUGGGGUAACCUUUUAGGAACCAGCCGCCUAAGGUGGGACAGA
This 1475-nucleotide ribosomal RNA is filed under the name Lactiplantibacillus plantarum. Its description in RNAcentral is "bacterial SSU rRNA". It matches the Rfam family "Bacterial small subunit ribosomal RNA". Lineage: Bacteria; Bacillati; Bacillota; Bacilli; Lactobacillales; Lactobacillaceae. The record is from RNAcentral.